RNAcentral lists this transfer RNA (70 nucleotides) under Stereobalanus canadensis. RNAcentral's name for it is "tRNA-Gly". The record is from RNAcentral. Lineage: Eukaryota; Metazoa; Hemichordata; Enteropneusta; Harrimaniidae.
UGCUUUAUUAGUAUAUACAUUACAUUUGACUUCCAAUCAAAAAACCUUAUCUAAACAUGAGAUAAAGCAA